UACCGCGAGUGGAGCAAAUCCCUAAAAGCCAUCCCAGUUCGGAUCGCAGGCUGCAACCCGCCUGCGUGAAGUUGGAAUCGCUAGUAAUCGCGGAUCAGCAUGCCGCGGUGAAUACGUUCCCGGGCCUUGUACACACCGCCCGUCACACCAUGAGAGUCGGGAACACCCGAAGUCCGUAGUCUAACCGCAAGGGGACGCGGCCGAAGGUGGGUUCGAUAAUUGGGGUGAAGUCGUAACAAGGUAUC
RNAcentral lists this ribosomal RNA (245 nucleotides) under uncultured bacterium. Its description in RNAcentral is "partial 16S ribosomal RNA". It matches the Rfam family "Bacterial small subunit ribosomal RNA", at positions 1253 to 1500 of the family's 1533-position model. The record is from RNAcentral.